Non-coding RNA from Paramuricea clavata, 78 nucleotides. NCBI's taxonomy places the organism in Eukaryota, Metazoa, Cnidaria, Anthozoa, Malacalcyonacea, Plexauridae. The record is from the annotation of a GenBank genome assembly.
GCCCGCGCGGGCAAAGCGACUGCAAUGGAAAAUUGCCUUAAGGCCGGUUUCCAUAGCAGUCGCUUUGCCCGCGCGGGC